GAUGAACGCUGGCGGCGUGCUUAACACAUGCAAGUCGAACGGGAAUUACUUUAUUGAAACUUCGGUCGAUCUAAUUUAAUUCUAGUGGCGGACGGGUGAGUAACGCGUGGGUAACCUGCCUUGUACAGGGGGAUAACAGUCAGAAAUGACUGCUAAUACCGCAUAAGCGCACAGAGCUGCAUGGCUCAGUGUGAAAAACUCCGGUGGUAUAAGAUGGACCCGCGUUGGAUUAGCUAGUUGGUGAGGUAACGGCCCACCAAGGCGACGAUCCAUAGCCGGCCUGAGAGGGUGAACGGCCACAUUGGGACUGAGACACGGCCCAGACUCCUACGGGAGGCAGCAGUGGGGAAUAUUGCACAAUGGGGGAAACCCUGAUGCAGCGACGCCGCGUGAAGGAAGAAGUAUCUCGGUAUGUAAACUUCUAUCAGCAGGGAAGAAAAUGACGGUACCUGACUAAGAAGCCCCGGCUAACUACGUGCCAGCCGCCGCCGUAA
Molecule: ribosomal RNA, 494 nt
Filed under: uncultured bacterium
Lineage: Bacteria
Description: partial 16S ribosomal RNA
Rfam family: Bacterial small subunit ribosomal RNA
Source: RNAcentral